Molecule: long non-coding RNA, 449 nt
Filed under: Homo sapiens (human)
Lineage: Eukaryota; Metazoa; Chordata; Mammalia; Primates; Hominidae
Description: HSALNT0362420
Source: RNAcentral
UCACUUUUACCACAUUCUUUUGGUCACAAGGAGAGGGAAUUACACAUCACCUGAUUUUGGAUGCAUGUGUGAGGUAUGCUACUGUACUCACAAGACAUCUGAAACUAUACCCAGAUCAUCUAGAAGUGAACAUGUUCCAGGUGAUGUCCCUAUGUAAACCAAGGGUUGGUUUUCAGUGGGUAGAAAAUGCCCUUCAAACACUGACCCUGUCAUAUUGCAGAUGCCUUCAGCUCUGAAGGCUGGGAAAUUUAAAGUCAAGGACCACCAGGUUUGGUGUCUGGUGAAGGCUGCUCUCUUUGCCUUUGAGAUGAUGUCCUGUUUCUGUGUCCUCCUGAGGGAAUGAACACUGUGUCCUCACAUGGUUGGCAGAAUCAGAAGUGGAAAAGGGGCUUAAGCUAGCUCCCUCCAGCCCAUUCAUAAGGCAUGUAAUCAUUUAUCUAAAAGGCUCA